UCGCACCCAAAAAUGGCGUCAAUUUCUUUCAACAACUCAUUUAAAUUACUUUUCUCUGCGUGUGCAAAUUAAUGACAAAAGGAUUAGGAGUAUCAGCCCUGUUUAGAAAUAGUUAUUCUCUGUGGUACUCAAAAUCCAAACGAAUGCUUUGUGAAUAAAUCCGGGAAAUGCUUGCCAUAUUCUGAGAAAAGGUAUUAUUAUCAUUAUUU
Caenorhabditis elegans is the source of this 209-nucleotide small nucleolar RNA. NCBI's taxonomy places the organism in Eukaryota, Metazoa, Nematoda, Chromadorea, Rhabditida, Rhabditidae. The record is from Ensembl.